This 247-nucleotide ribosomal RNA is filed under the name uncultured bacterium. RNAcentral describes it as "partial 16S ribosomal RNA". It matches the Rfam family "Bacterial small subunit ribosomal RNA", at positions 523 to 769 of the family's 1533-position model. The record is from RNAcentral.
AUACGAGGGGAGCUAGCGUUAUUCGGAAUUACUGGGCGUAAAGCGCGCGUAGGCGGUUUUUUAAGUCAGAGGUGAAAGCCUGGAGCUCAACUCCAGAACUGCCUUUGAAACUGGAAAACUUGAAUCUUGGAGAGGUCAGUGGAAUUCCGAGUGUAGAGGUGAAAUUCGUAGAUAUUCGGAAGAACACCAGUGGCGAAGGCGACUGACUGGACAAGUAUUGACGCUGAGGUGCGAAAGCGUGGGGAGC